This 29-nucleotide small RNA is filed under the name Bombyx mori (domestic silkworm). RNAcentral's name for it is "ovarian small RNA-20936". The record is from RNAcentral. Lineage: Eukaryota; Metazoa; Arthropoda; Insecta; Lepidoptera; Bombycidae.
UACCUUGUUCAUUCCUAUUUGAUAGGACU